Sycon ciliatum is the source of this 2899-nucleotide long non-coding RNA. RefSeq lists it as uncharacterized. The record is from RefSeq and is a predicted model, not a curated record. Lineage: Eukaryota; Metazoa; Porifera; Calcarea; Leucosolenida; Sycettidae. The transcript has 2 exons.
UCGAUAGAAACUUGCCGAGACUACAAGUUUCGAUUCCUUAUAGAGCAUUUUCGAUACAAUUGUGUCCGUAUCAGUGAAAGUCGAUGCUUUCCUGGAAAUGCGAACGGAUUGAGUUUCAUGUUCUCUUUUCUGCAGCAGAAUAUUUCAGUGGCUUUUUAGAACUUCAUUCUAGUGGCGACAGUUUGCCUUUGCUGUAGUGUAUGGCAAGAACCCAGAACACAUGUUUAUUGCAGAUCUACUGCAGGGCUUGUUCCUCGGGUUUAUUGCAGAUCUACUGCAGGGCUUGUUCCUCGGGUUUAUUGCAGAUCUACUGCAGGGCUUGUUCCUCGGGUUUAUUGCAGAUCUACUGCAGGGCUUGUUCCGCUGCCACUCCUGAUAUACAGUCAGUUCUGUGACUGUUGGAGAGCCAGAGAGACCAAGCUUCAAGAGAGGACAUGAGAUGAUCAUGAUGAUGGUACACAGAACACGGAUUGUCAAGUGCACCGUGCAGUGAAGUCACUCCACAACACGGCUCGCAAGCCGCGCGCAUAACAUCCCGCCGGAUGUCCACCUCCCGCCGGAGGAUCGCCUACAGACACCACCGCCGCAAGCAACGGCUCCGCGACCUAACGCCUCGCCGCCCGCUGUCUAUUGUUCUGUGUGUCUAUCCAGGGUCGCUAGCCCCGCUCGCAUCACAUCCCGCCGAACAUAUAACUCCCGCCGGAGAAUCGCUUACAGACACUGCCGCUGCAAGUUACGGCUCCACCAAACCAAGGCUUCGCCGCCUGCUGUCUGUUGUUCUGUGUGUCUGUCCAGGGUCGCCAGCCCCGCUUGCAGAACAUCCCGCCGGAUGUCCAUCUCCCGCCGGAGGAUCGCUUACCGCCGCAAGCCAGGGCUACGCAAGCCAACGCUUACGUGCCACCCCCAUGCGUCCACCCGCAAGGCUAAGUACCUAUGGAUUUGGCCAAUAGCAGAGGCUCCCACCCCGCGGGGCUGGGGGAGGGGGCUCUCGGGUCGUAUUUGCAUUAGCCCCACAGGAUGAGGGCAAACCUCGGCCAAACCAGUACAGGAACGCCCCGACGGGGUCAGGGGGGAGAUCUCCCACUGGCAAAACCCAUGGGUCCCCUGCUUAAAAUCCGCAGCCACGCCGCCGGGCCACUGUGUUCCGGGAAGCGGGCCGCUGUUCAGCGACCCGGCGCAGCACGCAUACACCGCAGCUUGGCCGCCGUACCAUCCUGCCUGUUUAGGAAACAUGCGCAUGUCCGGGCGUAUGCGUGUGUGCGUUUGUUUUGCAUGCGCUUGUGCCUGUGUCCUCCUAGGCUCGCUAGCCGCCGCUCUCUCAGCGAGAGCAGAGCACCUGAUUGCCAACUCGAUAGCUACUGGCACACAGCGCACGUACGCCCCAGGCUGGCGUCAUUCCUGCAGUUCAUUGGUCGCAUGCGGCGCGACGCACAUCACCCAGAUUAGGACGACGUCCUGCUGUUCGCUGCCGCAAUGUCUCACUCAGUCAGCGCCAGCACUCUGAGAGUCUACCUGACCGCGAUUAAAUACCACCUCCUCCGCAUGGGCGGUGCGGUCGGGGUUACAUCCUCUAGCCGCAUCACAGCCCUGCUCAAGGGCUUAGAGAGGGAGAGAGUGUCGCUUCCCAGGCAGCCGUCAACACGCCCUCAAUACAAACGAUCAUCGUCCACCAGCUGAAGGCUCUCUGCCAGUUCUUGAAUCUGUCCUUGUACUCCCUGGCAGACAGACUAAUACUAUGGGCUGCUCUUACGACAGCCUUCCACGGCUGCUGCUGCGUGUGAGUGAGUACACGUCAUUGUCACCACACGGUCCCGGCAGCCUCAAGACGCUGAGGCGCGAACACCUUCGGUUAGCCCAGCAGGACUCCAGAGGACGAAGACGUCUCAAUUAACAACAGGCGGGGAGGUAGCGCUGCAUCGCUAUGCUGACCCCGCACUAUGUCCCGUCCGAGCCCUGCAGGCUUACGUUCCGUCCAGCAAAUGGAGCAAUGACAAGCAACCCCUAUUCAAGUUUCAGGAUGGUCGCCAUCUCACGCCGAACGACAUCAAUGCUGUCCUACACAAAGUGCUAGGUCCAAGCAUCAGCAGCCAUUCCUUACGCGCCGGGGGAGCCACACACAUGGCGGAUCGAGGCGCACCAGAGUAUGCCCUGAUGGCUGCAGGCCGCUGGUCCAGCAGGGCAUAUCGCACGUACAUUCUCAGGCCCGCAGGCAUGCCACAGCACUACUAGAGCCUGCGUGUCGCAAGCCAUUCGGUACCUUUAUUGGAGGCACGGCUGCUGCCGAUGGGCGCUGCAUAGUGCACGCACAUCGGCACCAUUGAACUAUUCAUGUUUACUAAGAUUUAGUGUUCCGCUGCCAUAGCAACCUAGUAGUACACGUAGCCGUUCUGACGGCGCAGGACCCCGCGGGUCGCUUCUGCUGUCCUUGCCUCUCUGAUGUGUGAUAUGUGUACAUCAUUUAUAAUCAUGACCUCAUACUGAGUACAUGUACGUCAUACUUGAUUACCGAUCAGAGGCUCAUGAUUAUUCAUGUUGGAAUAAACGCUUGCGACACCCCACAGGCUCGUCUCUGUUGUGUGGCAUGAGGGUUAACUGUCACUUGUCACGUGGCACUUGCAACUGAGUACCUAGACCUACAACUAACCUGCAAGUAGUAGUGUACAGUGGUCAUGUACAUGUGAAUUCUGUACUAAGUCUUACAGUUCUAGUCCAUGUCAGCUCACAGCCUCACAGGCACAGCGUCCCAGGGACUUCCCCUAUCUAGCCCUGCUACAUUUGUAUGUGUUUAGUUCCUCCACUGCACACGUACAAUGUCUACACGUCAUGCAGUCUGCCAUCACGUGAUCACUACAAUCAAUCAUGCAGCACCUCCUUAAUCCAUUAUGGAUCACCGGUGCGA